AUCGAACGCUGGCGGCAGGCCUAACACAUGCAAGUCGAACGAACUCUUCGGAGUUAGUGGCGGACGGGUGAGUAACACGUGGGAACGUGCCUUUUGGUUCGGAAUAACUCAGGGAAACUUGUGCUAAUACCGAAUGUGCCCUUCGGGGGAAAGAUUUAUCGCCAUUAGAGCGGCCCGCGUCUGAUUAGCUAGUUGGUGAGGUAACGGCUCACCAAGGCGACGAUCAGUAGCUGGUCUGAGAGGAUGACCAGCCACACUGGGACUGAGACACGGCCCAGACUCCUACGGGAGGCAGCAGUGGGGAAUCUUGCGCAAUGGGCGAAAGCCUGACGCAGCCAUGCCGCGUGAAUGAUGAAGGUCUUAGGAUUGUAAAAUUAUUUCACCGGGGACGAUAAUGACGGUACCCGGAGAAGAAGCCCCGGCUAACUUCGUG
RNAcentral lists this ribosomal RNA (433 nucleotides) under uncultured bacterium. RNAcentral describes it as "partial 16S ribosomal RNA". It matches the Rfam family "Bacterial small subunit ribosomal RNA", at positions 30 to 507 of the family's 1533-position model. The record is from RNAcentral.